UUUACAUUUCAUUCAUCCCUGCUAAAUGGGACGUAUACCUAUGUGACCAGGUGAAUAAACCACAUAUCAGGACAAGUCCUGACACGCCCUGAUACAUUGCAUGUGACAUCACCAUAAUUCCACAGCGGUGUUCUAACUGCAGCAGGGUAUAAAGCAGGGAGCCCAGAGCCCAUUCAUCAGUCUGACCUUGACCAGAGCUAACAACAACCAUGGCUCAGCUAAGAAGACUUCAUGCCGGCAGAAGACAUGCCAAGAGAAGACGACAUGUCCACAGACAUAGCCACGUUCACAGAAGACAAAGACGCAGAAGGGCACCGAAACCAAAAAGCCACCGUAGAGCAGGCUACAGACGCAGACGCCGCCACCAUGUUGAAUGAUGACCGCCGUCCUGCGCCUUCGCCCUACUCGCUGACUCUUCUGCAACAAAAUACCAGAAAAUGAAUUCAAGUGACACAGCAGGACAAUGAAGACUUCUUUUUGGCAUACGCUUCGGCAUAAUCUUACCAGACUCAUCAGCAACAAAAAUACCAAAAAAAGAAAACAAAGUAACAAAAAUAAAUAAAUAAUCAAAAUUCAGCACAA
Long non-coding RNA from Pseudophryne corroboree (corroboree frog), 582 nucleotides. RefSeq lists it as uncharacterized. NCBI's taxonomy places the organism in Eukaryota, Metazoa, Chordata, Amphibia, Anura, Myobatrachidae. The record is from RefSeq and is a predicted model, not a curated record. The transcript has 2 exons.